CUGUUACUCAUCUGCCAGGCGGCCACGGCAUAUGAGAGAUUAGAGGCCUGUGCCCUGGUAACUGGCACUGUGUCCUGUGUUUAUCAUGAAUGAGAGUUGAACAGAGACUACCAGAGUGGCUGACAGCAGCUGGGAGACCCAAAAGAGCCAGCCCUGUUUGAGCAAAGCCUGUGGGUUUGGCUCUGCUGGAACCGAGACUGUGAACAGUGCUCAUCGUUACAGAUGAUGAAUAUUACUCAGUAUUUAGUAUCCUUUUGGACUUGUAAAGAAUAUGAUCAUAAAGAGCAUGGAUCAACCAUCUAUGUCAAGAGUAUGGUGCUGCUCAUCCAGCUUAUCCUGAAGCUGCUUUUCCCGGAAGUUCUCCCUCGUGCCAGGCGGCCAGCAGUUCUAGGGGGAGACGCUCACUGAACUCUCUGAGAGGACUCGGAACGGCAGCAGCAGGGCACCUUCGUGGGCAGACAUUGCGCACGGCGACUACCCCAAGGGCCCUGUUGAAGCGCAGGAGCAAGCGCAGCGGUGGAAGCUGCUUCAAGGAAGCCUUUCUUGCUCUAAAAAUAAGUUGGUGGAAACUGAAAGUUUCACAGGAAUGUAACAGUUUGGACAACAGAGAAGGAACAAAAUGCUGUGAGAUGUCUCUAGGCCGGGGUCACCGCAGCGGUGAGAAGGGAAGAGCCCUGGAGGUCCCUAGCAGGGAGAAAAGGGGCUUGGCGCAUCCUGGGCCCAGGCCCUGGCUCCGCU
Nothoprocta perdicaria is the source of this 738-nucleotide long non-coding RNA. RefSeq lists it as uncharacterized. The record is from RefSeq and is a predicted model, not a curated record. NCBI's taxonomy places the organism in Eukaryota, Metazoa, Chordata, Aves, Tinamiformes, Tinamidae. The transcript is spliced from 4 exons.